CGGCCAAUGCGCAGGCGCCUCCACUCGGGAGCGGCCCGGACUACAAGGCCCAGCAGGCCUUGCGCGCCAGCCAGCUGCCGGGCCGGGAGAGCUGGGGGCUGGUGAGAGCUGCUGAAGUGGAGUUCUUCCCAGCCCAGAAACUGGUGUUUGUUUGCCAUCAACGUCGUUUCUGCUUUGCUUUGGAGACUAUGAAGAGCAGCUUGAGACCCCUCAGUGGUUGCUCCUACCUAUUCGGUAUCACGGACAGUGGGGCUGCAGCCCAGUCUUCAGCAGCCGCCUGAGCACUCUGGUCUUCACAGGGAACCGCUGCAUAGGCACAGAGGGCGCCUGGAAUCCCUCCGACCAGUCCGCAACCUCAGACAGCAGUAGCCGUGGCGGUAAGUGCAGGAGCGGGCCAGCCAUCCGCCCUGCUGUCCCUCCUUGGUCACAGUCCUCUCAGCAGUGGUCUGCUCUUCCUCGCGAGUCUCUUCAGGAUCUCUGAAGAAGCAGCGAUCAGGCAUGACCGCCAUCAGUGGUCACAGGUGAUACCAGGGGGCUUCCUGCUGCAAGGAACUUGGUGAACUCCUCCUCCUCCUUCAUGUGUGGGACAUCGAGGGCUAAGACACUGUGACAGCUUCCCUUUAAGUUAGUUACGCUGGGAAUCCAGAACACCACCUGGAUCCCUCACUGGGUAGCAAGGAAAGGCAUGGAGGGUUGUCAAAACCUCAGAUCAUUAGGUGUCAUACCCAGAAUUUUAAGCAGUUUUUGAUUUAUUUGAUUUUUUCACAUUUUAUUUGAUAGGUAGAGAGACAGAGAUCUUCCAUUCCACUCCCAAGCCAGCAACAGCUGCAGCUGGGCCAGGCCAAAGCCAAGAGCCAGGAAUUCCAUCCAGGUCUCCCACGUAGGUGGCAGGGGCCCAAGUACUUGCACCAACACCUGCUGCCUCCCAAGGUGUGCAUUAGCAGGAAGCUGGACUCUGAAGCAGACCCAGAACCCAAACCCAUGCACUCUGGUAUGGGACGUGAGCAUCCCAAGUAGUGUCUUCACUGCUUCACCAAACAGUGAAACAGUCUGCCAAGACCCUCAGAAUUUCUGAGCCAGGAAGUUCUGGGAGCAGGCCCAAGAAUUAACAUUUCUAAGUUCUUAGAUGCUGCUCAUGACCAGGGUCCCUGCUUUGAAAACCACUGGACUACACUAUGCUGCCCUUCUUGCUAAUGCCAAAAGAGUAAAUGGCUCUAAUCUGGGAGGCAGGAUAGCAGGAAUUAAUAAUGUAGGCUUCAGAGGCAUACCAAUGAAAGAUCAAGUCCUUAUUUUGUCAAUAACUUGCUUUGAGGGUCUUAGGCACAGUCAUAUGAACCUCAAAAUCCAAAUCUCUAAAUGGGAAUAACAGAUCCUACCUUCUUGGUUUAUGUGAAGAGUCCAGGCGGUCCAGGGUAAGUAGGUGGUUCUCCAAGGAGAAGCUGAGUGGGUAGAGCCGGGAAUACCGGCCCGGCCAUUUCCUCUUUCUCUCAUGCUGUGUAGCUCUACUCCCAGGUUCCCGGAGCCAGAACAGCCCAGUCGUGGCUUGGUCAGAGUGCGGAAACAGUGCCUGAAAAUGCCUCCCGCCACCUUCACCCUCCUGGACUAGGACAUCCAGGCAGAAGAAGUCCUGAGAAGCUGUGUGUAAAGGAGAGAAGAUACUGGACCUGGCUUUGGAGAGCCUGAGAUCUGAAUCCAAAGAGAUCACUUAGGACCUGAGGCUGGGGCUCCAUUAUUUGCCCUCUUUGAAACUAU
This is a non-coding RNA of Oryctolagus cuniculus (rabbit), 1752 nucleotides long. Lineage: Eukaryota; Metazoa; Chordata; Mammalia; Lagomorpha; Leporidae. The record is from RefSeq and is a predicted model, not a curated record.